RNAcentral lists this ribosomal RNA (466 nucleotides) under uncultured bacterium. Its description in RNAcentral is "partial 16S ribosomal RNA". It matches the Rfam family "Bacterial small subunit ribosomal RNA", at positions 28 to 507 of the family's 1533-position model. The record is from RNAcentral.
GACGAACGCUGGCGGCGCGCCUAACACAUGCAAGUCGAACGAGCGAGAGGAGGUUUACUUUCUCAAGCGAGUGGCGAACGGGUGAGUAACGCGUGAGGAACCUGCCUCAAAGAGGGGGACAACAGUUGGAAACGACUGCUAAUACCGCAUAAGCCCACGACCCGGCAUCGGGUAGAGGGAAAAGGAGCAAUCCGCUUUGAGAUGGCCUCGCGUCCGAUUAGCUAGUUGGUGAGGUAAUGGCCCACCAAGGCGACGAUCGGUAGCCGGACUGAGAGGUUGAACGGCCACAUUGGGACUGAGACACGGCCCAGACUCCUACGGGAGGCAGCAGUGGGGAAUAUUGCACAUUGGGGGAAACCCUGAUGCAGCGACGCCGCGUGGAGGAAGAAGGUCUUCGGAUUGUAAACUCCUGUUGUUGAGGAAGAUAAUGACGGUACUCAACAAGGAAGUGACGGCUAACUACGUG